Molecule: long non-coding RNA, 270 nt
Filed under: Zostera marina
Lineage: Eukaryota; Viridiplantae; Streptophyta; Magnoliopsida; Alismatales; Zosteraceae
Description: long non-coding RNA (ZMAR_LNC002647)
Source: RNAcentral
AUAAUAUGGCGACUUCACAGAACACAACGACGAAUUAUAUAGAAAUUCAACAACAAAAAAGUAAAGAAGACUUUGAUCGGGCAGUUCAAGAGGCCAUUAGAAGACAGAUGCCGGAUAUACUAAAGGAACUAAGGGAAGACUUACGUCGAGAGACGAUUGAGGUAAUUUUUUAACAUUAGCCACGGAUUUUGGCCGUGGCUAAUCCUUAAUUGGCCGUGGCUAAUAUUUAGCCACGGAAAACCAUUUCCGUUGCCAAAAAACAGUAGCCAC